ACUCCUACGGGAGGCAGCAGUGGGGAAUCUUGCGCAAUGGGCGAAAGCCUGACGCAGCAACGCCGCGUGCGGGAUGACGGCCUUCGUGGUUGUAAACCGCUUUCAGCAGGGACGAAAAUAGACGGUACCUGCAGAAGAAGUCCGGCUAACUACGUGCCAGCAGCCGCGGUAAUACGUAGGGGACAAGCGUUGUCCGGAUUCAUUGGGCGUAAAGAGCUCGUAGGCGGUCUAGUAAGUUGGGUGUGAAAGCUCCGGGCUCAACCCGGAGAGGUCACCCAAAACUGCUAUGACUAGAGUCCAGUAGAGGAGCGUGGAAUUCCUGGUGUAGCGGUGAAAUGCGCAGAUAUCAGGAGGAACACCAGCAGCGAAGGCGGCGCUCUGGGCUGGAACUGACGCUGAGGAGCGAAAGCAUGGGUAGCAAACAGGAUUAGAUACCCUGGUAGCGACUGA
Molecule: ribosomal RNA, 450 nt
Filed under: uncultured bacterium
Lineage: Bacteria
Description: bacterial SSU rRNA
Rfam family: Bacterial small subunit ribosomal RNA
Source: RNAcentral